Molecule: unclassified non-coding RNA, 253 nt
Filed under: uncultured Patescibacteria group bacterium
Lineage: Bacteria
Description: contains 16S-23S intergenic spacer region
Rfam family: Bacterial small subunit ribosomal RNA
Source: RNAcentral
UACGUGGGGUGCAAGCGUUAUCCGGAUUUACUGGGCGUAAAGGGUCCGUCGGCGGCCUAGUAAGUUGUUGGUUUAAGCCUGGGGCUCAACUCCAGAACAGCCAACAAAACUACUAGGAUUGAGUAUGUUUGGGGUAGCUGGAAUUCUCGGUGGAGGGGUGAAAUCCGUAGAUAUCGAGAGGAACGCCAAUCGCGAAGGCAAGCUACUAAGACAUUACUGACGCUCAGGGACGAAAGCUAGGGUAGCAAAAGGG